Molecule: non-coding RNA, 29 nt
Filed under: Homo sapiens (human)
Lineage: Eukaryota; Metazoa; Chordata; Mammalia; Primates; Hominidae
Source: RNAcentral
ACCUGAUGUUACAUUGUAGUGUGCUGAUG